CAGGCGGUAAGUAAACAAGCUCAACGACAUUAGAUGGCGUAAGGUAUCGCGGACUAUUAGACUAUACGUCUGCAUUUUAAGGGUGUUUAACUCAAGCAGGCAUCGCCGAGUUGCUGUGGAGGGGCGAGGAGGGACCGCCGCUAGUCGGAGGCCGGUGUCCUCUACCCGUGGCGGCGUUUCGGGGGAGGGAAGCAGACGAAGUUCACCGGAACCCCGGGAUCGGAAUUACCCUCGGGAUCGCGGUCGGGUUCGGGGACGCCGCUGGAGCUCGCGGGGACCGAGAAGUUCAGAUAGAGGUGGCAGCGCGUUCCGGAGCGGUAGCGGCCACUGUAGGGGAGGCGAAGGUGACCUUCGCCUCCAGUACCCCGCUCCAACACCUUCGCAGUGGGCCCGUGGCGCGGCUACCUCCGCCUGGCGCCCCUGCGCCUCGUCGCCCGCGACCGCCGCCGCGACCACUCGCGCUCCCGCUGGUGCCACGACCUCAAGAUGAGCGGCGCGACGGCGGAGACGAGUAGCGACGUUCCGGAGCACGCGCUCGAGCUCCUACCACCGUUACGUAGACGCUCGAAACACGAGCGGCUGCGGCUUCUGCUGGCCACCGAGGGCCUCGAAGACGUAAUACUACAGUCUAUACAAGGAACAAAACACGAGGACCUGUUCUUACCAUCUCGGGAUCGCUUUUGGCCUCAAGGUUGAUCGUCCGUCGUACAAUAGCGACCGGAAGUAGUAGAAGAAUUGUACUUCGUUGGUAGACCCGUCAUGCCUUUCUUCUCAACUAGAACUACUGUUAAAGAACGCGUACUAGACAUUAGUACCUAGCAUGGCAAGGAUUUAUGAGGGAGGCAGGCCUUUAUGAGCAGUAACUUUACUUACAUAGAUCUACAUAAAAUCAACAUCUAUGUAGGUAAAAGUAGUAAAACUACUGCUCAUAAAGGCCUGCCUCCCUCAUAUUCAGAAAGAUCUCUAAAGUGAUACCUGAUGUAUGCCUACAUACAUCUGCAUCAAAUCUCACAUUUAAGUGAGUAAAACGAAGCAUACAUCAGAGAAUAACCUUAGGGAUUUUUCUGGAUAUAAAUCCUUGUCUCCCUCAUAGUCUAUUGUGUAAAACAAACAAUUGGUUCGUAUCUGUUACAACCUUUUAUAUAAAAAUCGGUUGAGUAUAUACCAGUCUUAAGAUCUUCAACUAGACCACAAUAAUCUUACACCCUCUAACACGACGAAAACACUGGAAAAAGGACUACUUAUC
This 1246-nucleotide ribosomal RNA is filed under the name Triticum aestivum (bread wheat). RNAcentral describes it as "partial small subunit ribosomal RNA". The record is from RNAcentral. Lineage: Eukaryota; Viridiplantae; Streptophyta; Magnoliopsida; Poales; Poaceae.